GUCUACGGCUGUGCCACCCUGAACGAGCCUGACGGCUGAUCUCCGAAGCUAAGCAGGGUCGGGCCUGGUUAGUACUUGGGUGGGAGACCACCUAGGAGGAGCAGGUGCUGUAGGCA
RNAcentral lists this ribosomal RNA (116 nucleotides) under Pteropus alecto (black flying fox). The record is from RNAcentral. Lineage: Eukaryota; Metazoa; Chordata; Mammalia; Chiroptera; Pteropodidae.